AUUACUUUGGCAGAUAAUAUGCAUUAGAUUUAGGAUCUAAUUAAAUAGGUCAAUCCUAUAAGUAGUU
Molecule: transfer RNA, 67 nt
Filed under: Mictyris thailandensis
Lineage: Eukaryota; Metazoa; Arthropoda; Malacostraca; Decapoda; Mictyridae
Description: tRNA-Leu
Source: RNAcentral